This 3103-nucleotide long non-coding RNA is filed under the name Manihot esculenta (cassava). Its description in RNAcentral is "long non-coding RNA (MESC_LNC005092)". Lineage: Eukaryota; Viridiplantae; Streptophyta; Magnoliopsida; Malpighiales; Euphorbiaceae. The record is from RNAcentral.
UGUGAUCAGUAUAAGAAAAUCUUAUUUAAUAGUUGUCGAUACAUAUUUUAACUUGGAUCAACAUUGACUUAAAGUCAUUAAUAAAGCAAACAUCCCGGUCAAUACAACCUUUUAAAAAGUGAGCAAAAUAUAAUUAACGGCUAACAAAAAAUGAACUAAAAGCCAACUAUCUUCAUUUAAUUGUGUCAUUACAAGAUACCAAAACAACAAAACAGUGGCUAAAAUCUUAUCUUUCAACUAUGUCUUUGGGUUUUGCUUCCCCUAACUGGUAAUUUGCUUCUUUUUAUUGAAGGUUGAGCUGUUGCUUGUAGUUGGUUUAGAACUUCUGGAACUGGUGGCUGUGAUGAUUGUGUCUCAGAAAUUAGUGCUUGUGAAGAAAUGGGUUGUGAUGAAAGAGUAUUAACUCUUAUGUCAACACCUCUGAUUGCUGCAGCAACAGAUAAAGGGCCAUAUACCACAUUGACAGAAUUCUCCCCUAGUAUCAAUAAGACAAUAACUUUUAUUAAGACAAAAUGAAAAAUCAUAACUGAAUAUCCUAAUGUACCUCUUACCCUUGCAUAGAUAGUCCCAAUGCUAUCAGAAAUCAUCCCCCCAUAUCCUUGUCUUACCUAAUAUGUAUUAAGCUUUAUUAUAAUGAGUUGUAUAUGGAUAUCAUCACAUAUUCAUAAAAAUUAUAUUACAUUUCUCCUAUCUUCAACAAUUUCCUUCCUUAUAUUAUAUUGCUCAGAUGUUUGUUCAAAAUUUGAUGCAUAUUGAGUUGCAGUCCUUUUCUUACUUAGAAUUCCAAGUUGUCCCUUCUUCAGUCUACCUCUCUUGCCCUGCGACAAUUACAAAUAUUCAUCAUCAUCUUCCAAACCUAACCCCUUAACAUUGUCCCCAUUUUAUCCAUUCUCAAGCUCACUUUGUUUUUGUAUUGCAUCCAAGUAUUCAUCAUCAUCUGUUUUCGAAUCAUUACCUAAACUCACAUCAUCAGAUUCAGCAUUAUUGUCCCUUAUACCAUCAUCAUGAGCUUCAACAUCUAUUUCAGGACAUUCAUUCUCAUGUACUAGCACAUCAAACACAUUAUCCUCACCAAGACCAUUAAUGGUGUUAUUAUUUUGGAAUAAGUCUACUGGAUCACUCUUGAAUUCAAUAAAAGGUUUCAAAAAACUAAAGUCAACACCCUCUUCCCACAUUUGCUUUACCUCUGUAUCAUUACAAACAAGGGUCUGAUAUUGCCAAUCACCCCAAUGUUUAUACUAUCCUACUUUCAAUACAUCACCAUAUCCUAACUCUUUACAUUUUUGUACAAUAUCAGCAUAAUUAAGUUGUUCACAAUUAACCAACAGUCAAGUAUUGCUUUCCCCAGGUAUUGCCAAAUAAUUCAGAUGUAAAUAAACUACAUUUUAGUUGAGGUAAUGUUCUAAAACUCAAUAAAAUAUUCAAAGUACUAACCCAUUACUAUUUAUUUAAAUGUCUUUGACUAAAAGAAAGGAGAAUACCUUGUUUGCUUUUGGCUCAAAUAUUCCUCCCACAUUGUCCUUUUUUUGCUUGUCUUCUUCUUCCCCUGUCAUUGGCUAAACCAAUGUUGUAUACCUCUACCAGUAUUCAACUCUAUAGCAAAGCAAUAAAGAAUGUUUUCUCGCCAACGCUUUGUCUUUAACACUCUGGACCACCUCUACUGUUAAUCGAGAGUAUUUUAGUAUGGGUUUAAGGAUAAUCUCUCAAAAAAUUGCCAAAGAGGAGACCGAUUUUAAUAGUGACAGAUUUUAAUUUUAGGGUUUUUUUAUUCGGGUUAAUGGGUUAAUAUUAUUAGCUGAGGGUUUAACCUUUGUUAGAGUUAGCUUAGAUGAAAAAAUGAAUAAUUAAAAAAAUAAUAUAAAACUCCAAGUGGAAUGCAAGCUGGGUGAUGUGGCACUUGGUCAAAAUUGAUUUGAUAGUUUGGUUAAAAUUGUGUCAAAUGUAAAAAGUUGGAUUUAAUCGUUUAAAAUUGAAAUUUUAGGAUAUAAAUGUAAGAAAAAUGAAAACGUUUAGAUUUUUUAGGUUUAUUGGCCAAAACAUUUUUAUAAUUUUUUUUAAAAUUAAAACAUCAAUUAAUAAGUUUUGUUAUAUUAUAGGAAAUAGGUUUUAUUUGGUUGGAGGUAAUUCAGUUAAAAAUUUUAAAUUUGUGGAUAAAUAUAAAAUUUAUGUAUAGUUCGUUGGUAUUUUUUUUUAACUUUUUAAAAAGGUCAAAAUUUUUCUUUUCGGAUAAAUAACUUACUUUUUUUUAAUUUAGUUAAAUUAUUUUUUAACUAUUUGAAUUAAAUAAGAUAUAAGUAGUUAAAUUUUUUUUAAAAAAAUUAUUAUUUAGUUAUUAUAAUAUGUAGAAAUUUAGUAAUUAAUUUUUUUAUUUUAAAAAAAUAUAUUAAAAUAUUUCUAACAUUUUAAUAAAUCUACUAAUUAAUUUUUUAUUAAUUUUAAUAAUUAAAUAUUAUAAAAAAUUUAAAAUAUUUUUAAUAUAAAAUAAUUAAUUAAUAAAUUUAUUAAAAAUAUGAGAGAUUAAUUAAUAUUUUUUAAAAUUAUAAAAAGUAAAUAGUAAAAUAUUUAAUAAUAAAAUUAAUAAAAUAAUUAAUUAAUAAACUUUUAAAAUAUUAAAAGUUUUAAUAUAUUUUUUAAAUUGAGAGAUAAUCUUUUACUAAAUAAUAAUUUUAUUAUUAUUAUUAUUCCAAAAGUUGACAAUAACAAAUAGAAUGAAGAGAAGAUUUUAGAGUGCGACACCUAAGGCGAGCCGGCAAGCGACACGGCUUGACAGCCAAAGCUCAAAGCUCAAGGGGCUCAACUUCACUUUGUGAGUCUCGACUGACGCCAUUUAUUAUUAUUAUUGUUAUUUUUAUAAAAAAAAAUUAUUCAUAUAGUACGAUUCAAUAUACAGAAGAAAGAACAGUGAUUUGAUUUUAAUAUAAAUAAACAAAUACACUUUCAUCACAGUCAAAAAUAAACCAUGGUUUGUUGAAGUUAAACAAAUACCUCGAUCUCCGUACCACAAAGCUGACGCGUGUUCUCCCUUUAACAACGCGGUUUCUCUUUCCCUUCACCGCCCUAUUUGAUGUUCUCCUUGUCUCCUUUCUCAUCCCCUCUCAUCAAC